This 1107-nucleotide ribosomal RNA is filed under the name uncultured bacterium. RNAcentral's name for it is "bacterial SSU rRNA". It matches the Rfam family "Bacterial small subunit ribosomal RNA", at positions 194 to 1308 of the family's 1533-position model. The record is from RNAcentral.
UGUUUCCUGUGUGGAAUUGUUAUACGCUAAGAAAUCCGCUGAAAGAUGAGCUCGCGUCCAAUUAGGUAGAUGGUGAGGUAACGGCUCACCAUGCCGACGAUUGGUAGCCGGACUGAGAGGUUGAACGGCCACAUUGGGACUGAGACACGGCCCAGACUCCUACGGGAGGCAGCAGUGGGGGAUAUUGCACAAUGGGGGAAACCCUGAUGCAGCGACGCCGCGUGAGGGAAGAAGGUUUUCGGAUUGUAAACCUCUGUCCUCAGGGACGAAGGAAGACGGUACCUGAGGAGGAAGCCACGGCUAACUACGUGCCAGCAGCCGCGGUAGUACGUAGGUGGCAAGCGUUGUCCGGAAUUACUGGGUGUAAAGGGAGCGUAGGCGGCUAUGCAAGUUGAAUGUUAAAGUUCGGGGCUCAACCCCGUGAUGCGUUCAAAACUGUAUAGCUUGAGUGAAGUAGAGGCAAUCGGAAUUCCUAGUGUAGCGGUGAAAUGCGUAAAUAUUAGGAGGAACACCAGUGGCGAAGGCGGAUUGCUGGGCUUUAACUGACGCUGAGGCUCGAAAGCGUGGGUAGCAAACAGGAUUAGAUACCCUGGUAGUCCACGCGGUAAACGAUGAUUACUAGGUGUGGGGGGAGACCCCUUCCGUGCCGGAGUUAACACAAUAAGUAAUCCACCUGGGGAGUACGACCGCAAGGUUGAAACUCAAAGGAAUUGACGGGGGCCCGCACAAGCAGUGGAGUAUGUGGUUUAAUUCGACGCAACGCGAAGAACCUUACCAGGUCUUGACAUCGUGCGCAUAACAUAGAGAUAUGUGAAAUUCACCUUCGGGUGAACGCAUAGACAGGUGGUGCAUGGUUGUCGUCAGCUCGUGUCGUGAGAUGUUGGGUUAAGUCCCGCAACGAGCGCAACCCUUACGGUCAGUUGCUACGCAAGAGCACUCUGGCAGGACUGCCGUUGACAAAACGGAGGAAGGUGGGGAUGACGUCAAAUCAUCAUGCCCCUUAUGACCUGGGCUACACACGUACUACAAUGGCUAAGAACAGAGAGAAGCGACACAGCGAUGUGAAGCAAACCUCGAAAAAUAGUCUCAGUUCAGAUUGCAGGCUGC